UACACUCUAAAAUUCCUUUCAGCUCUUCCCUCUCUCUCUUCCUCUCAUUCUCCUCACCAGCCGGCAGCAGCUCCAGCAGCCCGUCUUCCCUCCCCUUUGUGCUUUGGAUUUGUCAACUUCUAGCUAGGAUUUCUCUUGUUUCUAUGCAUAAGAGGAGGGCGACUAGCAGAGAGAAGAAAGCUUAGAGAAAGAAGAUAAUGUCUGAAGUUGUUCCUCUCUUGAGGCAUCAGCUAGGUUUGUCACUACCAGCCUUGUCAAUGAGCCAGUUCUUAAAUCUUGGUCAAUUUGGAGCAUGCAUCUAGUAGCAUCCCAUUUUGAUAGUAUGUGUUGCUUAUUGUAAAUGGGCU
Molecule: long non-coding RNA, 347 nt
Organism: Populus trichocarpa (black cottonwood)
Lineage: Eukaryota; Viridiplantae; Streptophyta; Magnoliopsida; Malpighiales; Salicaceae
Exons: 3
Source: RefSeq, a predicted model, not a curated record